AUUCCUCUACCCCCGCCACUGAUCUCCGCCUUUCUUCCCCUCUUUCUACUUCCACAGUUCACACACCUUACGAUUUCAAGAUGCCGUUUAAGAGAUACGUGGAGAUCGGGAGGGUAGCUCUCGUCAACUACGGUAAAGACUACGGGAGGCUCGUGGUCAUCGUCGAUGUCAUCGACCAGAACCGAGUACGUAUUUCUUUGCAUUUCUGUUUGGUAAAAGGAGAGAUCAUAUCUAUGUAGUGAUACAAUACCUUAUGUACUAAUGGGGGACUGCCUCUUGCGUUUCUAUUGUCCAAUCGCGUAUUGGUGCUUUUUGUUAUGCGUAUACUAUGGAUGUUGUUUGUUUGUUUCCUAUUUUUGUUGUUUGGUUUAUUUGGUUGUGUGUAGCAUAUCUGUGUUGUAUUUACUAUAGAAUUUUUAGCGUUAGCAUCCUGCACUUGCAUUUCUAGUGAGAAUUAUUGGGGUUGGCUGAUGGUAAAGGUCGGUGCAUCACCUCCUGCGUUCUCAGUUUUAAUCCCUGGAUAUGGAGACGGGUUUUCUAGGCUUGCUUAGUUAACCACCUGCGCAAAAGAGAAAUUAUGUCCAAGCAAUGGGAUCUGUUCUGAAUAUGAGCCCACAUUUAACAGGGUCAAGGUGCAAUGUUUGUAAACUUCUUAGGAUGUGAUGUUCCUUUAUGUGUACAUUUCAUUGUUUAGUUGCUGAAUGUGAAUCAUGGUUGUCUUAAGCAAUUAUUUGUUGUUUCUUGUCCUUGACAGGCUCUAGUCGAUGCUCCAGAUAUGGUCCGAAGCCAAAUGAAUUUCAAGAGGCUCUCACUCACUGACAUUAAGAUUGAAAUUAACAGAGUCCCCAAAAAGAAGAAUUUGAUUGAGGCAAUGGAGAAGGCUGGUAAGGACAACAUUCCCUGUGCAAAUCUAGUUUUGAUUUCUGCUUUUGAUGCCUAUCCCUUAUUCAAUUGUAUAUUCUGUGUU
RNAcentral lists this unclassified non-coding RNA (967 nucleotides) under Hevea brasiliensis (rubber tree). The record is from RNAcentral. Lineage: Eukaryota; Viridiplantae; Streptophyta; Magnoliopsida; Malpighiales; Euphorbiaceae.